RNAcentral lists this ribosomal RNA (253 nucleotides) under uncultured bacterium. Its description in RNAcentral is "partial 16S ribosomal RNA". It matches the Rfam family "Bacterial small subunit ribosomal RNA", at positions 524 to 776 of the family's 1533-position model. The record is from RNAcentral.
UACGUAGGGUGCAAGCGUUAUCCGGAUUUAUUGGGCGUAAAGCGCUCGUAGGUGGUUUGGUAAGUUUUCUGUUAAAUCUCCGGGCUCAACUCGGAAAUCGCAGAGAAUACUGCCUUACUUGAGGGUGGCAGGGGCCAGUGGAAUUCUCGGUGUAGGAGUGAAAUCCGUUGAUAUCGAGAGGAACACCAAUGGCGAAGGCAGCUGGCUAGGCCACAUCUGACACUGAGGAGCGAAAGCGUGGGGAGCGAACGGG